RNAcentral lists this ribosomal RNA (270 nucleotides) under uncultured prokaryote. RNAcentral's name for it is "partial 16S ribosomal RNA". It matches the Rfam family "Bacterial small subunit ribosomal RNA", at positions 524 to 792 of the family's 1533-position model. The record is from RNAcentral.
UACGGAGGGAGCGAGCGUUGUUCGGAAUCACUGGGCGUAAAGGGCGCGUAGGCGGCCGAGUAAGUCGUGUGUGAAAGACCGGGGCUCAACUCCGUGUACUGCAUGCGAUACUGCCCGGCUAGAGAAAGGUAGAGGCGAGUGGAAUUCCCGGUGUAGCGGUGGAAUGCGUAGAUAUCGGGAAGAACACCUGUGGCGAAGGCGGCUCGCUGGGCCUUUUCUGACGCUGAAGUGCGAAAGCGUGGGGAGCAAACAGGAUUAGAUACCCCCGUA